CAGCCGCCGCGGUAAGACAGAGGAUGCAAGCGUUAUCCGGAAUGAUUGGGCGUAAAGCGUCUGUAGGUGGCUUUUCAAGUCCGCCGUCAAAUCCCAGGGCUCAACCCUGGACAGGCGGUGGAAACUACCAAGCUAGAGUACGGUAGGGGCAGAGGGAAUUUCCGGUGGAGCGGUGAAAUGCGUUGAGAUCGAAAAGAACACCAACGACGAAAGCACUCUGCUGGGUCGACACUGACACUGAGAGACGAAAGCUAGGGGAGCAAAUGGGAUUAGAUACCCGGGUAGUCCCUGUCUCUUAUAC
RNAcentral lists this ribosomal RNA (301 nucleotides) under uncultured bacterium. Its description in RNAcentral is "partial 16S ribosomal RNA". It matches the Rfam family "Bacterial small subunit ribosomal RNA", at positions 509 to 807 of the family's 1533-position model. The record is from RNAcentral.